Molecule: ribosomal RNA, 301 nt
Filed under: uncultured bacterium
Lineage: Bacteria
Description: partial 16S ribosomal RNA
Rfam family: Bacterial small subunit ribosomal RNA
Source: RNAcentral
CAGUCGCCACGGUAAUACGAAGGGGGCUAGCGUUGUUCGGAAUUACUGGGCGUAAAGCGCACGUAGGCGGAUAUUUAAGUCAGGGGUGAAAUCCCGCAGCUCAACUGCGGAACUGCCUUUGAUACUGGGUAUCUUGAGUAUGGAAGAGGUUAGUGGAACUGCGAGUGUAGAGGUGAAAUUCGUAGAUAUUCGCAGGAACACCAGUGGCGAAGGCGGCUAACUGGUCCAUAACUGACGCUGAGGUGCGAAAGCGUGGGGAGCAAACAGGAUUAGAUACCCCAGUAGUCCCUGUCUCUUAUAC